This 550-nucleotide ribosomal RNA is filed under the name uncultured Acidobacteriota bacterium. Its description in RNAcentral is "bacterial SSU rRNA". It matches the Rfam family "Bacterial small subunit ribosomal RNA", at positions 38 to 618 of the family's 1533-position model. The record is from RNAcentral. Lineage: Bacteria; Pseudomonadati; Acidobacteriota.
GGCGGCGUGCCUAACACAUGCAAGUCGAACGAGAAAGGGGUAGCAAUACCCUGAGUAAAGUGGCGCACGGGUGAGUAACACGUGACUAACCUACCCUGGAGUGGGGGAUAACUGAGGGAAACCUUAGCUAAUACCGCAUAAUACCCACGGGUCAAAGGAGCAAUUCGCUUCAGGAGGGGGUCGCGGCCGAUUAGUUAGUUGGCGGGGUAAUGGCCCACCAAGACGAUGAUCGGUAUCCGGCCUGAGAGGGCGCACGGACACACUGGAACUGAAACACGGUCCAGACUCCUACGGGAGGCAGCAGUGGGGAAUUUUGCGCAAUGGGGGAAACCCUGACGCAGCAACGCCGCGUGGAGGAUGAAGUACUUCGGUACGUAAACUCCUUUCGAUCGGGACGAUAAUGACGGUACCGAGAGAAGAAGCCCCGGCUAACUUCGUGCCAGCAGCCGCGGUAAUACGAAGGGGGCGAGCGUUGUUCGGAAUUAUUGGGCGUAAAGGGUGCGUAGGCGGUUUGGUAAGUCUCUUGUGAAAUCUAUGGGCUCAACUCAUA